RNAcentral lists this long non-coding RNA (381 nucleotides) under Salvia miltiorrhiza (redroot sage). Its description in RNAcentral is "long non-coding RNA (SMIL_LNC003124)". Lineage: Eukaryota; Viridiplantae; Streptophyta; Magnoliopsida; Lamiales; Lamiaceae. The record is from RNAcentral.
AGGCUUUGCUUGAAGAACAACAAAUAUUUCCUUUGAUAGCUUUUUUCAUUAUAUCAUUAUUUGUUUAUUAUAUCUAUGUAAGAGUAUUAUUUUUGUACUGCUUUCUUCAUUAUUUUAUUAUUUGGAACCUAAUGUCUUCACAUUCAUAAUUUGCAGAUUUAUGCAGAUCUCAAAGCCUCCCCAAAAGACUGCUUCGAAAUGUUCAACCCUAUAGACUAUUUGUAGGAUCCAAAUAGUACUGAAUACUUGAUGUAAAUAUUAUAUGAUGUGUAUGUAGGAUUUUUAAUGUUGAAUUUUAAUGUAUGAGAAUGUUGGAUGAUUAAUUAAUAUAUCAAUGUUUUAGAUAUUUAAUAUUUUAUACUAUUUAUAGAAAAAUUGAAA